Molecule: ribosomal RNA, 261 nt
Filed under: Pseudomonas synxantha
Lineage: Bacteria; Pseudomonadati; Pseudomonadota; Gammaproteobacteria; Pseudomonadales; Pseudomonadaceae
Description: partial 16S ribosomal RNA
Rfam family: Bacterial small subunit ribosomal RNA
Source: RNAcentral
GGUAAUACAGAGGGUGCAAGCGUUAAUCGGAAUUACUGGGCGUAAAGCGCGCGUAGGUGGUUUGUUAAGUUGGAUGUGAAAUCCCCGGGCUCAACCUGGGAACUGCAUUCAAAACUGACUGACUAGAGUAUGGUAGAGGGUGGUGGAAUUUCCUGUGUAGCGGUGAAAUGCGUAGAUAUAGGAAGGAACACCAGUGGCGAAGGCGACCACCUGGACUGAUACUGACACUGAGGUGCGAAAGCGUGGGGAGCAAACAGGAUU